Long non-coding RNA from Suricata suricatta (meerkat), 638 nucleotides. RefSeq lists it as uncharacterized. Lineage: Eukaryota; Metazoa; Chordata; Mammalia; Carnivora; Herpestidae. The transcript is spliced from 3 exons. The record is from RefSeq and is a predicted model, not a curated record.
CUUGUUCGCUCUGGAUCCACCCCAGCGUGGGGGCCCGAAAGGGGAAACUGAGGCCGGAGGUCGCCCAGCUGGUGGGAGCGGGACCUCAAGUACAGCGCUGUCGGCGCCCCGUGGGGCUGGCGUGCCUUGCGCCGGGGCUUGCGGGUCUGGGUCAGGACGACCCAGCUUGGUGUGUCCCCGGCCCUGGCACUCUGCAGAAGGAGGUUUCAGUCCUAGCUGGGUUUGUUCCUUAUUGCCUUGCCUCCAUGUCCCGAGCAGAGCAGAACUUCUAGGAUCCAUAAGACAUUCACGCUCUUUGACCCUCACUGAAGCCGGCGAGGUCAGGUGGGCAAGGACGAAGCUUGGUGACACCUGCAGGAGGUGACCUCGGGGCUCCGUGAAGACUGUGCUCCCGGGAGCGGUGUCUCGCCUGGAAGGUUCUCUGCAGACCAGGGGUCCUGGCCAUGAACUGAACUGUUAAACCAGCGUCCUUGAAGAGGGAAAACAUUCUGAUAUUACCACACUCACUGAUGGACCAGAGGACUUAGAAGCUUGUCAACAAAAGCUUGAGAAGCUGAAGUUUUCGAGAGUCUUCCACGUUGUGGUGUCUAUAGGUGGUGACAUUUUGAUUCCUGAAUACAGUCCCCGUGUAUGGAUGG